CUACGGGCCGCUGCAGUGAGGAAUAUUGCACAAUGGGGGGAACCCUGAUGCAGCAACGCCGCUUGGAGGAUGACGCAUUUCGGUGUGUAAACUCCUUUUAUAUGUCAAGAAAAUGACGGUAGCAUAUGAAUAAGCACCGGCUAACUCCGUGCCAGCAGCCGCGGUAAUACGGAGGGUGCAAGCGUUACUCGGAAUCACUGGGCGUAAAGGACGCGUAGGCGGGUUGGAAAGUCAGGUGUGAAAUCCUACAGCUUAACUGUAGAACUGCACUUGAAACUUCUAAUCUAGAGUAUGGGAGGGGGAGAUGGAAUUCGUGGUGUAGGGGUAAAAUCCGUAGAUAUCACUAGGAAUACCUAAAGCGAAGGCGAUCUCCUGGAACAUUACUGACGCUAAGGCGUGAAAGCGUGGGGAGCAAACAGGAUUAGAUACCCCUGUAGUC
Molecule: ribosomal RNA, 439 nt
Filed under: uncultured bacterium
Lineage: Bacteria
Description: partial 16S ribosomal RNA
Rfam family: Bacterial small subunit ribosomal RNA
Source: RNAcentral